RNAcentral lists this unclassified non-coding RNA (206 nucleotides) under Hevea brasiliensis (rubber tree). Lineage: Eukaryota; Viridiplantae; Streptophyta; Magnoliopsida; Malpighiales; Euphorbiaceae. The record is from RNAcentral.
AGAUUCUUAUUUUUUUUUUCUUCUCAUCAACCGUAUUUGCCAUCUUUUUUGUUCAUGUCAUUGUUUCUCAUUUUAACAGUUUUGCAUCUUACUAUCAUUGCAUUUGUUCCUCAUGCUACUUUUAUGUUACAUAAAAUGAUGGUUGAGUAGCCAUUUGAUUCUUUCAUUAUACAUGGUGUGAAGCCUUGAUUAACCUCUUUUGUUUU